CCAAUACUUUCUGGAAGAAGAGGAAUGGCUAACGGGUGAGUAACACGUGGGUAACCUGCCCAUCAUAAGGGGAUAACACUUGGAAACAGGUGCUAAUACCGUAUAACAAUCAAAACCGCGAGGUUUUGAUUUGAAAGGCGCUUUCGGGUGUCUCUGAUGGAUGGACCCGCGGUGCAUUACCUAGUUGGUGAGGUAACGGCUCACCAAGGCCACGAUGCAUAACCGACCUGAGAGGGUGAUCGGCCACAUUGGGACUGAGACACGGCCCAAACUCCUACGGGAGGCAGCAGUAGGGAAUCUUCGGCAAUGGACGAAAGUCUGACCGAGCAACGCCGCGUGAGUGAAGAAGGUUUUCGGAUCGUAAAACUCUGUUGUUAGAGAAGAACAAGGAUGAGAGUAACUGUUCAUCCCUUGACGGUAUCUAACCAGAAAGCCACGGCUAACUACGUGCCAGCAGCCGCGGUAAUACGUAGGUGGAAGCGUUGUCCGGAUUUAUUGGGCGUAAAACGAGCGCAGGCGGUUUCUUACUCUGAUGUGAAAGCCCCCGGCUCAACCGGGGAGGGUCAUUGGAAACUGGGAGACUUGAGUGCAUAAGAGGAGAGUGGAAUUCCAUGUGUAGCGGUGAAAUGCUUAGAUAUAUGGAGGAACACCAGUGGCGAAGGCGGCUCUCUGGUCUGUAACUGACGUGAGGCUCGAAAGCGUGGGGAGCAUACAGGAUUAGAUACCCUGGUAGUCCACCCGUAACGAUGAGUGCUAAGUGUUGGAGGGUUUCCGCCCUUCAGUGCUGCAGCUAACGCAUUAAGCACUCCGCCUGGGAGUACGACCGAAGUUGAACUCAAGGAAUGACGGGGCCGCACAAUCGGUGGAGCUGUGGUUAAUUCGAAGCACGCGAAAACUUACAGGUCUGACAUCCUUGACACUCUAGAGAAGAGCUUCCCUUCGGGGCAAGUGCAGGGGUGAUGUUGUCAUCACUCUGUCUGAAUGUGGGUAAGCCCAACGACGCACCUUAUGUAGUGCAUCUUCAGUUGGCCCCUACAGCUGCGGUACAACGGAGAAGGGGGAUGCUCAACUCAGCCCUAUACUGGCUCCACUGUCAAGGGAUCCCGAUUC
This 1110-nucleotide ribosomal RNA is filed under the name Enterococcus faecium. Its description in RNAcentral is "bacterial SSU rRNA". It matches the Rfam family "Bacterial small subunit ribosomal RNA", at positions 69 to 1234 of the family's 1533-position model. Lineage: Bacteria; Bacillati; Bacillota; Bacilli; Lactobacillales; Enterococcaceae. The record is from RNAcentral.